AACACUAUCAGUGUUGAAGCAGGGAUUGGUGGUGAGCAUAAUGGCAGAUCAGGACAUUAUGGAGCUACACAACGGCUUGACAAAUGGCACAAUUAGAUCAAACAGGAUGUUUUUGCAUAAAAAUCCAAAAUUUUCCCCAAAGCUGAAGAUGAAACUUAAUGGAAGGAUUUCUUUUUUUUGAUGAACAACAGGUAAACCAAUUUUGUAAUAAACAAACAUGUAACUUUUGUAGAAAAACAACAAAUAUAAACAAUUAUUUCCUAGCAUUUUGAGCUACACUUAAUAUAUAACCAAUAUACUGUAACAAUGUUGAAUGCAAUGCCUAUUGCAACAGACGGAGGGGAUCAUUGAUAGAAUUAAAAGAGUCACACAGAUUGACAUGACAGAAUUAAGUAAUACAUCCUACAUUUUGGAAGUACUUACUCCUGAGGUAACCCUAUUAAUCCUAAAAAAGACAGAGGGCUUCCACAGGUUCCAGGCAGAAACGGCUUUGCAAACAAAGGGACAUUUGGGAGCAUCCACAGAUUCUGAUCCUGAAUGGUUUUGAUGACAAAGGGAUGCCUCCUGUUGCUGCACCACACAUUGUGCUAGUGUCUGGACUUUUCUCUGUGCCCCCUUCCCUGUUAUCUUUAUCAAAUUUGUUGAAUAAUACAGUCUAAAAAGUCACUUUGCAAAACUAAUAUAGUUACUUAUUUUGUACAGCAUAACCUUUUGAGUUUACCUUAAUGCCACAAUGUGUAGCCCAUUUUUUACAAUCAUAUUUUUUUUUACAUUUUUUUCUCUUAAGG
Megalobrama amblycephala (Wuchang bream) is the source of this 788-nucleotide long non-coding RNA. RefSeq lists it as uncharacterized. The record is from RefSeq and is a predicted model, not a curated record. NCBI's taxonomy places the organism in Eukaryota, Metazoa, Chordata, Actinopteri, Cypriniformes, Xenocyprididae. The transcript has 4 exons.